RNAcentral lists this transfer RNA (68 nucleotides) under Diaethria gabaza eupepla. RNAcentral's name for it is "tRNA-Ser". Lineage: Eukaryota; Metazoa; Arthropoda; Insecta; Lepidoptera; Nymphalidae. The record is from RNAcentral.
AUUAAUGAGCUUGUAAAGCAUUUGUUUUGAAAACUUAAGAAAGAAUUAUAUAUAUAUUCUAUUAAUUU